AUGGGAAAGUGGUGGUGUCAGAGAGCCAGGAAGGGUGUGCCUGUUUAGAGCAGGAAGAAACAAGCGGAGCGCUUGGGAAAUCAGCGGCAGCGUGUGAGCGUCGGCCACCCAAGCGGACCUUUCAGGCACCAAGAUGUUCUUUACCUGUGGCCCCAAUGAAGCUAUGGUUGUCUCAGGUUUUUGCCGUAGCCCCCCUGUCAUGAUAGCCGGAGGCCGGGUGUUCGUGAUGCCGUGCAUCCAGCAGAUCCAGAGGAUCUCACUGAAUACUCUGACCCUGAAUGUGAAAAGCGAAAAAGUUUAUACUCGGCAUGGAGUCCCCAUCUCAGUCACCGGCAUCGCCCAGGUGAAGAUCCAGGGCCAGAACAAGGAGAUGCUGGCAGCUGCUUGCCAGAUGUUCCUGGGCAAGUCAGAGCCUGAGAUUGCCCAAAUUGCCUUGGAGACACUGGAGGGGCAUCAAAGAGCAAUCAUGGCCCAUAUGACUGUAGAGGAAAUAUACAAGGACCGGCAGAAGUUCUCAGAGCAGGUCUUCAAAGUUGCCUCCUCUGACCUGGUCAAUAUGGGGAUCAGCGUGGUCAGCUACACCCUCAAAGACAUCCACGAUGACCAGGAUUACCUUCACUCUCUGGGGAAAGCCCGGACUGCUCAGGUACAGAAGGAUGCCCGGAUUGGAGAAGCUGAAGCCAAGAGGGAUGCUGGCAUCAAGGAAGCAAAGGCCAAGCAGGAGAAAUUGUCUGCUCAGUACCUGAACGAGAUUGAAAUGGCCAAAGCCCAGCGGGACUACGAACUGAAGAAGGCAACUUACGACAUCGAGGUGAACACACGGAAAGCAGAGUCGGACCUGGCCUAUCAGCUCCAGGUAGCCAAGACGAAGCAGAAGAUUGAGGAGCAGAAGAUGCAGGUGCUUGUGGUGGAGCGAACUCAGCAGAUUCAGAUACAGGAGCAGGAGAUGAUCCGUAAAGAGCGUGAGCUGGAGGCUAAGGUCAAGAAGCCCGCCGAAGCAGAGCGCUUCCGUCUGGAGAAACUGGCUGAGGCCGAAAGAACACAGCUUAUUAUGCAGGCGGAAGCCGAAGCAGAAUCAGUCAGGGUGAAGGGUGAGGCUCAGGCCUACGCUAUUGAGGCAAAGGCCCGGGCUGAUGCAGAGCAGAUGUCCAAGAAGGCAGAGGCCUUCCAGCAGUACCAAGAGGUAGCCAUGGUUGACAUGCUUCUGGAGAAGCUUCCAGAGGUGGCUGAAGAGAUCAGCAAGCCCUUGACUUCGGUGAAGAAGAUCAGAAUGGUGUCCAGUGGGGCUGGGGACGUGGGGGCUGCCAAGAUAACUGGGGAGGUGCUGGAAAUCAUGAACAAGCUGCCUGAAACCGUGGAGAAACUCACUGGCAUUAGCAUCUCUCAGUGGAGAGACUAUCAAGGCGAGGAACAAUAAUAUCAGUAAAAACCAUUUCAGCAGAAAGAAGAUGAGCAAGGCUAUACAAGCAGCCAGUAAGGUCUACUAAAAGCACGUUGGCCACUGAGAGUGUGUCAGUUGAAUCAGAAGAAACCAGGACGAAUGAACUAAAUGCUGAAGACAUGAUGGGGAGACAUCCUUCCUGAGCACGAUCUUCAUCAUCUGCCUGUGUCCAUAUAUAGAGUUCUUCCCCAUCCAGAACCCUCCCGUAAUUGCCAAACCUCUAAUGGACUGAACUGUUGCAUGUUGGCCAACAAUCCUUAAAACUGCUGAGGUCAGUCAUCCUAUCGUACAGCCAUUGUAUCCCAGUGUCAAUCCCAAUGUGUACCUGAUAGCAUCCUGACACUUGCCCGUUGCUUGCUGCUCCCAUGCCCCACCAAGUACACCGUGUUUCAUGACCACUUUGCACUCAGUUGAUUCCAGUUCUUUGUUGCCUGGACCCUUCAGGCUGCCCUGCACCUCCUGCAUGUGGCCUCUCUUGAAGGAAUUAAGAACAGAUCUGCUUCUGGAACUACCGGGAAGGCAACAAGGAUGUAGCUUGGAUGGGUGUGAGUCUGAAUUUUGUUUCAUUGAGGAUGCUUGGCACUGGAUGCUUUGCCACAAGGUCUUCUAUGGGUUUUGAGUUUAUGUAGGAUGUGUUUAGUGGCUAUUCUAAGGCAUUGCCUGGGUGAAGGCAUUUUAGAGGGUCAGUUCUAUGCUACUGACCAGUGGUUAUAAAAUCUAGUGAUGGGCAUAGCUCUUCCUAGCUCCAUAUUGCUAAAGCCACCUGUAUUUUUCAGUGUAAAUACUUCCAUGCCAAUUCAGCCUCCUUUCGCUUUGUACCAUAGUUCUUGGGUGCUACACAUGACUAAGAUUCCCUACUCAGCAAAAAUCAAAUUGUUGUUGUUGUUUUGUGGUGUUUUAAGAAAACACCCCGACACACCAAGAUCUCACUUUCAGGGAGCAUGUGUUUACAGCAGUUGGCCUGCAGUUAGUCACAUGUAUAUGAAUUCGCCAAAGUACCCCUAGAUACACACACACACAUCCUGAAGGUACAUUCCACAUUGUGCUUUGUUGUAUUUUGGACAGGUAGGCUAACGCUGUGGAAUGGAAGUUCUAGUGUGUGAUACAGAAGCAAGGUGUGUAAUGGAUAUAUUUCCCACCUUAAAAUCAACAUCUGGAUGUGCCUUAUAUCUGUGUUAGCUCCUGGAACAAUCCUACUUCACCACCAAUCCAGUAGCUGGAAGAGGGGAGCUAAUGUAUUCAUGGGCUUCUAAGAAUUGGGAUACACAAAUCAAGAGCAUCACAGAGGGGCAGGCUUUGCUGUCCUUUAUCAGUUCAGACUCUGGGUGGGAGUGUUAUAUGCUUGUAGAAAACUGGUUUUGGCCUUGGUCUAGCCUUGUCCCUUAACAUGCUAGUUUUUUGCAUGCAGGGAGCUUUUGUGCAGGAGAGCAUUCCAGCAUGGGAUCCUCUUACUGCAGUCUGAAAUGGGAACUUUAUGCCACAUGAUUAUGUGUGUAGAUCAGCCUUUACAGUCUUUGACGUGAGAAGGUUGGCCCUCCUGAGGAGCAACUGUCUAUAAACAGUAAGAAUUGGCUGUGAGGAGCCCCAUCCCACCUUCCAGUCAGAAUGGUCACCUGAAGAAGGAAUGUGUAAAGAGCCACCCCAACCUCAUCCCUUUUCUGCUGCCUGGCUGUGGUCGUUUCCUUACAUUUCAAGCUGUUACGAGCCAUGUAGAAGCUUCCGGAUUGAGUUGUAUGCGUUUUGCCCUCGUGCCGCAAAUCAUAAUUGCUCACCUGCUGCUCACUUCUAAAAUGAAACAUGCUUGAUCUGACUAUAGCUGCGCUCUGAGGGCCUAGAUUCCAUGCCCCAUAACUGUGAUGGAGAAGUCGCUUCUUUGUGCCUGUUCCUGGCUCUUGCCCUGCUUGCUGUGUAGUGAAGCCUCAGCAUGGUGCCUUGUCUAACUCUUUACCAAGGAGAAAGAGUUGCCCCCAUCUUCCUUUCCGCUGCCAAGAUCCUCCGCUUAUAAUAAAAGUAAAGAUUACUGUGUACAGCUGUCUUCUUUGUAUGUGCACCUGUGUGUCCCCCCCCCACUCUGGCUGGGGUUUCUCUUUGCCCCUGGCUUCCAAAUCUAAAUUCUGAACCAAGGAACCCCAUGUUUACAGAAACUGUAUGUCCAAACUGUACCACUUUGAAUACAAUUUCUUCAGUCUUCAAAAUUAGUCCUGUUUUGUAUGUAUAGGUAAUGAUGGAAUUCAUAUUGUCUUCAGCUCUAAUCAGGAGUUGUGCUAACCCAAAAAUGGAACAUGAAAGUGUAGGCGAGUGUGCUAGCACCACAUACACUCUCUCCAUGAGUUGGAGGGUGGCCGUUGCUGGGUGGUGGCAAGUUACAGGUGUGCCGUACUUGCCCAGGUUUAGUUUUCAUUGGAAGGAAGUCACUGGUAGCUUAUUGGUGUUCUAUAAUAUUUAAGUUUAUAUACACAUAUAUAAGCUGAUCGUAUUCCCAAUCUCUAUCUAUGGAUGUGAAAAAGUUGGACAGUGAAAACAACGGAUAAGAGAAAAAUCAACUCAUUUGAAAUGUGGUGUUGGAGGAGAGCUUUGCAUAUACCAUGGACUGCUGCAAAAAAGACAAAUAAUUGGGUGUUAGAACAAAUUAAACCAGAAUUAUCACUAGAAGUUAAAAUGAUGAAACUGAGGUUAUCAUACUUUGGACGCAUCAUGAGAAGACAUGAUUGGCUAGAAAAGAAAAUAAUACUAAGAAAAACGGAAGGGAGUAGAAAAAGAGGAAGGCCAAACAAGAGAUGGAUUGAUUCCAUAAAGGAAGCCACAAACCUGAACUUACAAGAUCUGAACAGGGUGGUUCACGACAGAUGCUCUUGGAGGUCACUGAUUCAUAGGGGCACCAUAAGUCGUAAUCGACUUGAAGGCACAUAACAACAACAAACAGGCUGAUCAUAGGUGGAGGCAUAGCUUAAACCACUCAGUAGACAGCCAUAUCCACUGCCCCAUGUCAGAUCUCUAGAGGCAGCCAGCACCCCAAAAUGCUUCCAGAGCAUACAGCUCAGCAGCUUGUUUUCUAGGUGGUCAUGCUCAAAAACUGCAGCCCGUCUCCCAAAGCGCUUUUAUUGCACUCCACACACAUCUAGCUUGCCUCCCUCUGGCUGGAGGGGGGAACUAAGGAUGAGUCAUCUUCAACAAUCUCCUAGGCACCUUGUGCCAUUUAUAGUUAACUGAAGAGGAGAUGUGCCUGGCAACUUUUCCACUUGAUGGUUGCUGAGAAAUAUUUUUGGCUCUAUGAGCUACAGCUGCCACUUCUAUGAGGCAAACUGGGGCAGUUGCCUCAGGCAGGGCAGUAGAUAAGCACCCUCCUGCCAACAAGCUUUGCCAGUUGCUGUUCACCUGCCCGGCAAGGCUUAUGACAGACAUCUCAGGAACCUCGGCCCCAUCCAAAGUCUUUCCUCGGAGCAAGCUGCUCUGGGCAAGGUGGCCUGGGAGUGUACCUGUAUUUAAAUUGUUUUAAAUUGUUUAAAAGUUUAAAGUCACUAGUAAGUCUGAACUUUAAACUAAAUUUAAAACAAUUUCUAGCCAAGGGCAAAAUGGCGGCAGUGCAGGUGCUCUGCUCUUCCAGAAUUUUAUUUAUUUAAUACAUUUAUACCCCGCCUUUCUUUUCAUGAUAGAAACCCAAGGCAGCUUACAUAUGGUUCCCAGGCAGUCUCCCAUCCAGGCACUGACCCGACCUGACAGGGAGCUGACCUUAUGUGCCUUCAGACCAUAACCUCACCCGUGAGUGUGUUGUUGUUUUAACAGCAAAGCCGUUUGCCCCAUUCCCAAAUUAUGCUGUUAAAAGUCCUCAUCCUGAAACCAAGAUGUAGAUUUGUACUUGUGUAUGUAGGUCACCUCAGUGAAGUAGAGAGUCAGUUCUGCCCCCAAAUACCAAUCUGUAUCUGGCUCCACCCCCACCUCAGUCACAAGUUUUCAUUUAGCUCUGGUUGGUGAAUCUGAAGGAUGUAGUAAAAAAAGAAAUGUCUUGCAAGCCUGGAGUUUCUCCUCCCCUCCCACAGAACGUAUGUUUUGUCUACAAACUGUUCAAGGGUCAAUCCCCAUCAUCUCCAGUUUAGUAGCACUGUGCAAGGCCUCUGCAUCAGACUCUGGAGCAGCCCUGCCAAUCAGAAUAAAGACGAUGCCAGUCUCAAUGGUUUGACUUGGCGGAAGGCAGCUUCAUAUAUAACUCCCACCAGCCAGGUGCCGCACACUAGACCCACAUGGCAGGCCUGACUGUAGUUGUCUGAGGAAAAUAAGUGGUUCCAAGUUCCUGGCAAGACUAUAAUUAAUGGUUGAUGGACCCUGGCUGGCAUGAUGAGUCGCUAAUUGUAUAAGACUGAUACAGAUUAAGUUGUGGUGGACUGUUGUGCUACUGGGUGGGUUUGUAUACAAUAUUUUGCAUUGCGAAGGCAACGUAAAAACUUGCAGCAUGGGUGAGGCUACCAUAGUCUGCAGUAGCUUUUGACUAUGCAGAGGGGUAAUGGUUGGUUGCCACACUGCAGCAACUGAAUGUAAAUCAAGAGCUGGGAGGCAGCAAUACCUGCCUCAUCUUGAGGCCCUGACAUUUCCAAAAGAUUGUGCCAUAAAAUAAAAGGGAGAUGUGCAAAUUAUGCAGGGAACACAAUUGUCUGUGCUGAGUAGGGGUGGCUGUCUUUCCUUGGUGUGAUCUCUUUUCCUACCCUGCAGCACAGCACCUGCUGCUGUCACCCUAGAACAAGGGUGGGAGAAUCUCAGGCCUAGGAGCCAAAUGUGGUUCUUAAAACUACUCUUUUUGUCCUCUCCCCAGGCCACACCCCUCACCAGCCCUGCUUUGCACCCUCCUUGAGUGGUUUUGCCUGGCUGGAAUGCAUCCUUCAGCGCUUAUAAUGCUUCUUGCAAGUCUGGAUGGAGAAUACAGAAGGAUGUGUGACUAACCUACUGUACAAAGAUAAAAUUCACAUUUAUUGCUCUGCUCACUUUUACCUCUGGCCCUACACGCCACUGGCAUGUGGCCCCCAGAAGGUUCCUAAUUGAAGGAAUGUGGCUCUCAGACUGAAACAUCCUAGAGCAAGAGUGGAAAGAGUUCAGGCUUCUUAUAUCUGUUUUCUCCUUACAACCUCAAGAUCUACCAACCAGAGUCAGAUGCAAAUGACAUAACAGUUAAAAUUCAACUCUGAUCACAUUCUGAGUUUAGGAUUUUUUGUCUAGUACCAGCAAUGAUCUAAGUUCAGUUUUGUCCUUUCACGCAAAAGUCCAUUCCUGGUUCAUUUCCUUCAUUUCAGCAGCUGAAUCGAAAGCCAUAUUGCUGUUGCUAUUAUUAAUUUUAAUUCAUUAAUUUGUUCAUCUAUUUGUAUGCUGCUUUUCCACAAAAUUGUGCCCAAAGCAGCUCUCAAUAUGUCAAAUGAACAGCAAAUGACAAUUCAAACAACAUAUUAAAACAAUUACAAAUAAGCACAUCAAUAAGCACAUACAUCAUUUAAAAAACCAAUCCAAUAAAACAAUUGGGAGGGUUGAUUUUUAGUUUUGUAUUUAAAAAAAAUACCCUUGCCAAUCUGCUGCAGAUCACUCAGAAAUCUACCAGUGGAUCUGAGUCUACCUUCUGCACACCCCUGCCCUUUGUUUAACUGCCUUUUACUCCUGGCUUUUCCUUCCACUGCUAACCCUGAUUGUGUCUAUUGUCCAUUGUUUUCCCGGAUCCAGCAGCUGCAAAGGUCACUGGCAGCCACAUCUGGCCUCCAGUCACACUGUGCUUACCCAACAGGGCUGCACCCUGCUUAUUGGGAUGAUGAGUUAGUCUGGCUGGAGCUCUGUGUAUAUGCAUGCACGUGUGCGUGCAGCUGUUUAACUACAGUCCAGUGACUUAGACGCCAGCUGGAAGGAGCAGCCGAUUUCACAGCAGCCCUGUGAAACGGUGAUGACUGGAAUGUGACAAAUGUGGCAUCACAUGACAGCAGCAGGGAACAAAGAAGCUUCUUUCCUCUGCUUCCAGAGUCUGAGUCACAGCCCGCACAGGCCCUACCAUUCGGCAGAGUGAGGCAAUUGCCUCAGGCAGCAGAGGCAUCCUCCAGCUGUUCCUGCCAAGAUCCCCAGUCAUUUCCCAUUGCAACCACUAGGGAUGUAAAAAGGCAGCGGUUUCCAUUCUGAGCUGUGUUUGUCACAAUCAGCGCUGUUUCUGUUCCGCUGCUUGAAACAUUACUUGUCUUGCUGUUUGCUAUUUAACUUAACUUAUGGAAUUAUUUACGUAACCUACAUUCAUUUCAGUGUAAAGGAAGCAUCAAAACUAGAGAAAGCAGAGUACAUAGAGUGGUGGGCUUCCUUUUAAUCUGUAGAAGAAAACUUUUUUUAAAAAAAAAAUGCAGCUUUUCUUCCCCUCCAUUGUAGCCAGAGCUAACACUCUCAGAUCGCCCAGGGCUCUCCUGUUUUUGGCCCAGUUGUUGAGUCUAACACUCCUGCUGAUCAGAUCCAGCUCUACCAUUGAGGCAGAGUGAGGUGGCAGAUACUGUAACUGAAGGGAGAAUGAUGGCAACGUGCAAAAGAGAGCUGUGUGUGUCCCCCCCAACAGCCUGCCCUGCACCCGCUAAGCUAGCCUACUGCUGUUAAGUAUGGUGGAGGACCCUGUCCCAUUGAGAUAAGAUUCAACUGCCAAUCCAGAUUCUAAACAUGGAAUGGGGGAGGUGCCAUUUUGUCCUUUGCCUCAGGCAGCAAAAUGUCCUGCUACUGUAGCACCAUUCUGGGUUUUUUAAAAAAUUAAAAUGGUGGCAGGGAUCUCCCAUGGCUUCCUGCUGCUGCCUGAUAACAUUGCCAGGUAAGCCCAUUAAGGCCCUCCGACAAAAGAGUGGGUCCACCAGACAGCCCUUUGCCAAGUAGCCCCAUCAAACCUGGAGCCAGAUCUGCCUGUGGGCAGGCACAGUGAAGUGAGAAGCUUCGGCUACCGGAAAACUCACCCUUCUUUACAUCACUAUUAAAAGCCAGGCCUUGAUGGCCUGGUUAGUGUACUUGAGACAAAAUGAACUCUCAACCGCACUUUUAUCUAUGAUUGUGCCUCAGUUUUUAAAAAUUCCUAAAUAAUCCGAGCCUGUUCUUCCCUUAAACAUUGAGGAUUAAGGAGCAAGACUCAGUGGUUUAGGGCGAUUCCAGACUGUCACUCUUUUCAGGUAGGAUUCAGUCACAUAUUGGCAAAUUCAGGUUGCAGAAUUAAAGCAGAUUUGGACCUUUUGCACAACGUGCUUUCCCCUCAAAUCAUAUAUUGUAAUAAGGAAAGAAAAAGAAAAAAGCACUACAAAGUGUGGAAAGUGAUAUGUUGUCUAACCUCCCAGCCAACAAAUCAGAAUGAAUGGUCUAUAAAUAGCCAAUGUCAUCUAACCUCCCCUCAAACUUUGCACUAACAAAUCAGGAUGAACGCCCAGUAAACUGGUUACCUGGAAGUGACUACAGUUAGGCAAUGUUUUACGAAUGGUCGGGGAGAGGUGGGGCUCUUUAGAUAAUGCUAUUUCAUAGAAUCAUAGAAGAGUUGAGUUGGAAGGGACCUAUAUGGCCAUUGAGGCCAAUCCCCUGCUUAAUGCAGGAAUCCAAGUUAAUUUGCUGCAUAUAAUUUCCAAAUGUGGUAGCCUAUUGUGUCUGGGGCCCUUCUGUUCAAUCUGCUGAGUCAGGCCCUGAGUUUCACCACCAAAGACGUGCCUUGACGGUACCACUGGUGGGCAGAGCUUGGAAAAGUUACUUUUUUGAACUACAACUCCCAUCAGCCCAAUCCAGUGGCCAUGCUGGCUGGGGCUGAUGGGAGUUGUAGUUCAAAAAAAGUAACUUUUCCAAGCUCUGCUGGUGGGGUAUAUUCAACCUUCGGCUUUGUUGGCCACCUUGAGAACAGGAUGCUGGACUAGAUGGGCCAUUGGCCUGAUCCAGCAGGCUCUUCUUACAUUCUUAUGUUCAUAGCUUAUCUCCUCUUUUAGAAAACAACACAGACUACCACUUUUCCAUAUCCCAGCAAAAUAUUUAAACAGGUGUAUAAUAAUAAUCUCAGUAGGGGUCAUCUGCAACCUUUUGUCUGGCAAGAUUCCCAUCCUGUGUGGUAGGCAGAGGCUCAACAGUAAAGCUUUUCUGGCUUGGAACAGCUCCAGUAGAGAAAGCUGAGCCUGUUGAACUGAGCUGUUAAAAGUGACAGGAGCUCUGCCAGAAUAAACGAACCAACACUUGCAUUUUCCAAUGGAAAAGCACAUCAAGCGAAAACAUCAAACAUUUGCAGUCUCGCAGCUUCCUUGACGCAUAGUUCUCUUCCAGCCCUGGCUGGCUCCCUUUUGUCUGUUGCAAAACACUAGUUGUCCUUAUCCAAGGGAGAAAGUAUGGUGUGCUAUCCAAAUCCCCAUAUUUAAAAUGCAAUUCAGGAGUUCUGCAAGGAAUAAUUACGGCUGCAAAUGUUUGCUAAUUCCUGUAGUUUCUGUAACUAAGUCCCCUAUUACAAAGACUGGGGGAUGUGUGCCUUCUGUACAAGGUACUCACUCCUCUAGAACUGGCACAGGACUCCAUGCCACUAUCUCAACUUCAAGCCAACAUCCACUACGUUGUUUUCCCAGAUGGGGGAAAGGUAUCUGAGAGCCUAAAAUAGCCAGUGUUGGAAAAGGUAUGGACAUAGGAAUCUGCCUUGUAUCAGGUCAAAUUGUUUAUCCAUCUUACCCAAUAUUGUCUACUCUGACUGACAGCAACUUUCCAGGGCCUCAGGCAGUGGCCUUUCUUUACCAUCACGAUAUACUGGACCACUUAACAGAAGAUUAUUGCAUACAUCACUUACCCACAUUCAUCCCUCUCUUCCCUUCUCCUUUUGUUGUAUUCCCCAUUACCUAGAUGUAAGCCCCUUGAGGGCAGAGACCUGUUUUUACCUGUGUGCUGUAAGGUGCCACAUACAGCCAUGGUGCUGCAUACAUAAUCCUUAUUUUAAUAAAUGCUAAGUAUAGCAUAUGUAAUAGGAGUUGCUGAAUUUGGAAAGGAAAGGGAGCUGGGCUGGACUGAGGAGAACAAACUUCACUAGAAGUGGGUUUGGAUUGUGUGUCCUGGAGGAGACCCAGAGAUUAGAGAGAGGUAGAAAGUCCCGGAAAAAGACAGGAUAGGAGUUUUAGGUCCCAUAAAAUGGUGGGAUCCAAUUAAGAUUGGAUUAAACUGUUCCAAAUAAUACUGCUCUCCCCUGUCACCACAGGGCUUCCUUAAGCAGCUGUAUGGCAGGCAGUGAUCCAAAAGGUGUGGCUUCACCUGGCCUGGAGAUGAAGUGUUAAAGUUACACUUGUUGAAUUUCUACCUGCAAUGCAGCUUGAGGAAAAGAAGGCAACUCUAAUUCUUUGCGGGUUGAGGGAGUUUAAGAAAAGUGUCUAUAUUAAUUUAUAUCUUUAUAUCAGGAUUGAUGGGAUAGUCUUAUUGUUAAUGUCAGCUGGCAAUCUUAUUUGUUGGUUUUAAUAAUAAUAAUAUGGAUGGAUGGACUGUCUUCAAGUCGAUUCCAACUUAUGGCUACCCUAUGAAUAGGGUUUUCAUGGUAAGCGGUAUUCAGAGGGGGUUUACCAUUGCCUCCCUCUGAGGCUAGUCCUCCCCAGCUGGCCAGGGUCUGCUCAGCUUGCCUCAGCUGCACAAGCCAGCCCCUUCCUUAUCCGCAAAUGCCAGCUGGGGGGCAACUGGGCUCCUUGGGACUCUGCAGCUUGCCCACGGCUGCACAGGUGGCCGGGCAUGUAACCCCUGAGCCACUCACUGUGGGGUGAUCUUUAACUGCCCCUUGACACCCAGGAGACUUGAAGCGGGGACUUGAACUCAGACUCUGGACUCCCAGCCAUGCUCUCCUCCCCACUGUGCUAUACCAGCUAAUAAUAAUAAUAAUAAUAAUAAUAAUAAUAAUACUUUCUUUUCUGUAAUGUUUGCAAAAUAAAAAUUAAAAACAAAA
This is an RNA transcript of Rhineura floridana, 11351 nucleotides long. It is a transcript of the gene named flotillin 1, with no coding region annotated. NCBI's taxonomy places the organism in Eukaryota, Metazoa, Chordata, Lepidosauria, Squamata, Rhineuridae. The record is from RefSeq and is a predicted model, not a curated record. The transcript is spliced from 14 exons.